This 486-nucleotide ribosomal RNA is filed under the name Cuspidatispora xiphiago. Its description in RNAcentral is "eukaryotic LSU rRNA". It matches the Rfam family "Eukaryotic large subunit ribosomal RNA", at positions 98 to 596 of the family's 3401-position model. Lineage: Eukaryota; Fungi; Ascomycota; Sordariomycetes; Sordariales. The record is from RNAcentral.
GCGGCAACAGCUCAAAUUUGAAAUCUGGCCUCGGCCCGAGUUGUAAUUUGUAGAGGAAGCUUUUGGUGCGGCACCUACUGAGUCCCCUGGAACGGGGCGCCAUAGAGGGUGAGAGCCCCGUAUAGUAGGACGCCUAUCCUUUGUAAAGCUCCUUCGACGAGUCGAGUAGUUUGGGAAUGCUGCUCAAAAUGGGAGGUAAAUUUCUUCUAAAGCUAAAUAUUGGCCAGAGACCGAUAGCGCACAAGUAGAGUGAUCGAAAGAUGAAAAGCACUUUGAAAAGAGGGUUAAACAGCACGUGAAAUUGUUGAAAGGGAAGCGCUUGUGACCAGACAUGCGGCGGGCUGAUCAUCCGGUGUUCUCACCGGUGCACUCUGCCCGCCUCAGGCCAGCAUCGGUUCUCGCGGGGGGAUAAAGGCCUUGGGAACGUAGCUCCUCCGGGAGUGUUAUAGCCCAGGGUGCAAUGCCCUCGCGGGGACCGAGGUUCGC